GAUGAAGAACGUAGCGAAAUGCGAUACGUAGUGUGAAUUGCAGAAUUCAGUGAAUCAUCGAAUCUUUGAACGCACAUUGCACCUCUCGGUAUUCCGGGAGGUAUGCCUGUUCGAGCGUCAUUUGUACCCUCAAGCUCUGCUUGGUGUUGGGUGUUUGUUCCGCCUCUGUGUGUGAACUCGCCUCAAAACAAUUGGCAGCCGGCGUACUUGUUUCGGAGCGCAGCACAUUUUGCGAUCCAGAUCAACGUACAGCGGCAUCCAAGAAGCCUUAUUUAACGCUCUUGACCUCGGAUCAGGUAGGGAUACCCGCUGAGCUUAAGCAUAUCAAUAAGCGGAGGA
This 339-nucleotide unclassified non-coding RNA is filed under the name soil metagenome. RNAcentral's name for it is "partial contains 5.8S ribosomal RNA, internal transcribed spacer 2, and large subunit ribosomal RNA". The stretch from base 1 to 120 matches the Rfam family "5.8S ribosomal RNA", at positions 35 to 154 of the family's 154-position model. The record is from RNAcentral.